This is a non-coding RNA of Thiotrichaceae bacterium IS1, 121 nucleotides long. The record is from Rfam. NCBI's taxonomy places the organism in Bacteria, Pseudomonadati, Pseudomonadota, Gammaproteobacteria, Thiotrichales, Thiotrichaceae.
GAAAGCGGUGUGAGGCGAAAGUAUCCCGCACCGUUUGGGGUGGGGGGCUGGCGAGACCUCUAGUUGUUUAACAUUACCUAAAGUUAGGUACACUAGAGAAGUAGUCAGUCUCUAUCACCAU